This 718-nucleotide long non-coding RNA is filed under the name Ananas comosus (pineapple). RNAcentral describes it as "long non-coding RNA (ACOM_LNC027957)". The record is from RNAcentral. Lineage: Eukaryota; Viridiplantae; Streptophyta; Magnoliopsida; Poales; Bromeliaceae.
ACAAUUGCAAAAACAUCCCUGCCCGAAAACUACUCACACUGCACUGUGUACCGAUACACGGGGUCGCGUACCGGUACAACACCUGCGAAACAGCCAAACCCGAGCCUCGGGUUUGCACGAAAUUCGUCUGUGUACCAGUACACCAGCCCCGUACCGGUACAGCCAUCAGCGCGUACCGGUACAACCAUCAACCCCGUACCGGUACACAGCCCUGCUGAGGCUACCCGAGAGUUGACCAAAAAUUCGACUUUUCGGAUUUUGGUGCUAGGUUUUAAACCUCCAAUCUCGGGGCUCAAACCAUGGGUCGGAACACUACCAACGACCCUCCACGAAGUGUGGAAAAGCUCAGAACACGAAACAAACACUCGAAUCUUGCAAUUUGCAAAGAUCCAGUGCGUCACAGCUGAACAUUACAAGAGCAAGUGUCACGAGUAAUAAACAUACAAGUGAAACAAAAGAGAGAGAAAGACACUAAGCUAUUACAUUAGUUCAACAUAAUACAAUUAAUUACAACUUUGCAUUCCCCCAAAAUAUAAACAUUAGUUUACAUUCAUCUCAAAAUAUAACUCACAUUCUAUACAUCAUCUACUCUCAACAUAUAGGGUAACUCUAAUGCAGUAGGAAAGCAUCUACCAACUAGCACUAGGGCGCUAAGCCCUUAACGCUAUCAUCUGCCUGUCUGCUCUCGUGUGUACCUGUACCCCAAAAUCACACGGGG